CCUACGGGGGGCAGCAGUGAGGAAUAUUGGUCAAUGGCCGCAAGUCUGAACCAGCCAUGCCGCGUGCAGGAAGACGGCUCUAUGAGUUGUAAACUGCUUUUGUACGAGGGUAAAUCCCGAUACGUGUAUCUGGUUGAGAGUAUCGUACGAAUAAGCAUCGGCUAACUCCGUGCCAGCAGCCGCGGUAAUACGGAGGAUUCAAGCGUUAUCCGGAUUUAUUGGGUUUAAAGGGUUCGUAGGCGGAAUAGCAAGUCAGCGGUAAAAAUUCGGGGCUCAACCCCGUCGUGCCGUUGAAACUGAAGUUCUGGAGUGGGCGAGAAGUAUGCGGAAUGCGUGGUGUAGCGGUGAAAUGCAUAGAUAUCACGCAGAACUACGAUUGCGAAGGCAGCAUACCGGCGCCCAACUGACGCUGAAGCACGAAAGCGUGGGUAUCGAACAGGAUUAGAUACCCCUGUAGUC
Molecule: ribosomal RNA, 459 nt
Filed under: uncultured bacterium
Lineage: Bacteria
Description: partial 16S ribosomal RNA
Rfam family: Bacterial small subunit ribosomal RNA
Source: RNAcentral